Molecule: ribosomal RNA, 422 nt
Filed under: uncultured bacterium
Lineage: Bacteria
Description: bacterial SSU rRNA
Rfam family: Bacterial small subunit ribosomal RNA
Source: RNAcentral
AAUUGUUCGCAAUGGGCGCAAGCCUGACGACGCAACGCCGCGUGGAGGAUGAAGAUCUUCGGGUCGUAAACUCCUUUCGAUCGAGACGAGUUCCUCUGGGGUGAACAAUCCCUGAGGUUGACGGUACCGAGAGAAGAAGCCCAGGCUAACUCCGUGCCAGCAGCCGCGGUAAAACGUAGGACACGAGCGUUAUCCGGAGUUACUGGGCGUAAAGGGCGUGCAGGCGGUUUUGUAAGUUUGAUGUGAAAGCGCCCGGCUUAACCGGGCGAGGACAUUGGAGACUGCAAGACUAGUGGCAGAUAGAGGGGUGUAGAAUUCCGGGUGUAGUGGUGAAAUGCGUAGAGAUCCGGAGGAAUACCAGAGGCGAAGGCGGCACCCUGGGUCUGACCUGACGCUGAGACGCGACAGCAUGGGGAGCGAAC